AAAUAAAUAUGGCGUCUUAUAAAUUUACGCGUGGUGAUCGAUUAAAAUUAUGACAAAGAGUAGAAUUUAAAUUUUAAUAUAAUAAAAAAAAUAAUUGUUUUAAUUAUCAAAUAUAAUUGUUGUUUUAAUUAUCAAGAACAAUGAAAUCUACAAAAAUAACGAGACCUACAGAAACAAUGCAAGUUAAAAAAACAAUGAAAUCUAUGAGAAGAAUGAAAUCCACAAAUCAUAGAUAUCGUAAUCAAGUAUCAAUUGAUCCAGAAAAAUUAGCAAAAUAUAGUAAAGGUGAUGGAAUUGAUUUAAAAUCAGGAUCAUCUAAAAUCAGAAAUAAAGUAAUAAAACAAAAAUUAAAAAGAAAGGAGAAAAAUUUUGAAAUAACAGUAAAAGAUACUGCUCGUACUGAAUUACUUUUGACAGAAGAUUAUGGUUGUUUGGAAGCUGAUGCUGGAGAAAUAACAGUACAAUAUAAUCAAAAACAAAUUGCAGAUAAUGCAGAUAUAACAAGUGCUGCUAAACAUUUUACAUUAAAUUUAGAUUUUGGACCGUAUUAUAUAAAAUAUACAAGAAAUGGUAGACAUUUAGUAUUAGGUGGGAAGAAAGGUCAUGUAGCUGCUUUAGAUUGGAUCACAAAAAAAUUAGCUUGUGAAAUAAAUGUAAUGGAAUCAGUACAUGAUGUAUCAUGGCUUCAUAUAGAAACAAUGUUUGCAGUAGCACAAAAAGAAUGGGUAUUUAUUUAUGACAAUCAAGGAAUUGAACUUCAUUGUUUAAAAUUAAUGAACAAAAUUAAUAAAUUAGAAUUUUUGCCUUAUCAUUUUUUACUUGCCAGUGGAUCUAGAGAUGGUUACUUGGCAUGGUUAGAUAUUUCCAUUGGAAAAUUUGUAAACUCUUUUAAUUCCAAAUUAGGAAAAAUAGCAGUAAUGACACAAAAUCCUAGUAAUGCAUUACUUUGUGUGGGUGACUCAAAAGGUAUAGUUUCAAUGUGGUCUCCAAAUAGUAAAGAUCCUUUGGUAAAAAUGUUAUGUCAUACUCAAGCAGUAGCUGCUUGUGCAGUUCAUCCUUAUGGAACUUAUAUGGCAACUAGUUGCCAAGAUAAAUUUGUAAAAAUAUGGGAUAUUAGACAAUUAGCAGGUCCAGUGCAUAAUUAUCGUGUACGGGCUCCAGUUCAACAUUUAUCUUAUAGUCAAUGUGGUCAAUUAGCAUUAGCUAUGGGAAAUGUUGUAGAAGUUUAUCGAUCAUUGGCCAAUGAAAUAAAACCUUACUUACGUCAUAGAGCUGAAUGGACUGUGACAAGUAUGCAAUUUUGUCCAUAUGAAGAUAUUUUAGGUAUUGGUACAUUGAGAGGAGUUUCUUCUCUUUUAGUACCAGGAAGUGGAGAAGCUAACUUUGAUGCUCUUGAAAAUAAUCCAUUCCAAACUAAAAUUCAGAGACGCGAAGCUGAAAUAAAAGCUCUAUUAGAUAAGAUUCAACCAGAAUUAAUAUGUUUGGAUCCAAUUGCUAUUACAGAAGUAGAUGUACCCACCUUAAAAGAUAAAAUAGAAGCUAAAAAGAAUCUUUUGUAUCUUAAACCAAAAGAGAUAGAUUUCAAACCUCGUAGAACGAAGGCUAAAGGUAAAGGCGGAACAGCUAAAGUAAUUAAGACUAAAAAGAUUCUAAAAGAUUUAAAUCGAAGGGAACUAUUAAUAUACUUCGCCAAGCAAAUAUUCAAUCAAAUAUAAAGAAAGUAGAAAAAAUCUCAAAAAGAUUAUGGAAUAUUAAAUAGAUUUUUACCAAGAUCUAAUAAACAAACAAGUAGAUAGCCAAAUAUGUUACAUACAAAACAGUAUAAAGUGCGCUGUAAAUAAAUUUAAGAUAAAUGAUUGGUUACAUAUAUAUAUAUAUAUAUAUGUAUAUAUAGUAUUGAAGUGUGAGGUGUUUAAUGAAAUAAGUAAGCAUUCAAUAGUUUAACUGUAACAUUCUAUAAUUUAAUUGUUAUAAUAAAAAAGGAAUAAUUUAUGUAACUACAA
RNAcentral lists this unclassified non-coding RNA (2003 nucleotides) under Apis florea (little honeybee). RNAcentral's name for it is "wD repeat-containing protein 46, transcript variant X3". Lineage: Eukaryota; Metazoa; Arthropoda; Insecta; Hymenoptera; Apidae. The record is from RNAcentral.